Long non-coding RNA from Cervus elaphus (red deer), 2356 nucleotides. RefSeq lists it as uncharacterized. The record is from RefSeq and is a predicted model, not a curated record. NCBI's taxonomy places the organism in Eukaryota, Metazoa, Chordata, Mammalia, Artiodactyla, Cervidae. The transcript has 4 exons.
GGAAGGACAUCGUGGGAGGCUGGAGGAGCCGGGAGGGAGGAGGGGCGGGGGCGGGGCGCAGCCAGCGCGCUGUCACGUGACGUGCGUGACGCCGUGUCGGCCGUCUCGUGUUGUUGAGGCUGAGGACUGGCGUGUUUCGAGAGUCUUCCCUGUCCCGGACCGCAGGAAACCGGCGACUCGGUCUCACUCCCUUUGCCCGGCUCCGCUCUGCCGCCCUGCCUGGCUCUCCUGGGCCUGCCGCCUGCUCUGGCGUCCCCUCCGCUCCGGCCCGACCCGACCCGACCCAGCCGCAUGGACACCCCCAGGCCGCCCGGCAGCCGCCUCGGCCGGCUGGGGCGUCAGGCUCCGAGCUCUGUCCAGCAGUGGGAGUAUUACAUCCCUCCCUUUCUCCAGCAUUGCCGAAGUAUGUGUUAGCAGACUAUUGUUACGGGAGAGAAGAAAUGUUAGCACUUUUCCUUAAAGACAACAAGAUCGCUUCAGACCUUCUGGAUAAAGAAUUUCUGCCUAUCCUACAGGAGGAGCCCCUCCUGCCACUGGCUCUUGUGCCCUUCACGGAAGAAGAGCAGGUGAUUCUUAACCAUCUGAGCCGCCACGGAAGCCCAAGAAUACUGGAGUGGGUAGCCUAUCCCUUCUCCAGGGGAUCUUCCUGACCCAGGAAAUGAACUGGGGUCUCCUGCAUUGCAGGUGGAUUCUUUACCAGCUGAGCUACUAGCGAAGUCCAAAGUCAGCCUAGUAAUUCUGUCUUUAUUCAUGAAACCCAGUAUCAUCUAGAGUCAUCAGAAAAUAUUUUCAUUGACCAAAAGGUGUUAUGGUUGUAAAGAAUACAUGGGAAAGGAAGGGUCCUAUUUCCAGUAAUUGCUGAAAAGUUCCUUUUCAAAAGUGGUAAAUUUCCUUUAAAAAAAUCUGACAUCUGGUUUAAUUUUUCUCAAAAAUAUUUUUAUUUUGAAGCAUGUCAAGUAAUAUAGAGAAUAUUAUUACAAAGAUCUGAGUAUUUUCAACUCAAAUACAUCUAAUCUUAAAAUAAUCUGUGUAUACCUUUGAAGAAACAAAAUUCCUCAUCCAUUUGAGACUGUCUGUGGUGUGCCCCUUUCUGCAUUCCCAGGAAUUACUAUGAAUCAGAUUACUUUCAUCAUUCAUGUUUUGAUAUUGUCAUUACAUAUUUGGGUAUCCAUAUGCUCCUAAGAGUUUUUUAAUAGGGUUAUAAAUGGUACAUGGACUGUAGGCUGCUAGGCUCCUCAGUUCAUGGAAUAUCCCAAGGAAGAAUACUGAAGUGGGUACCCACUUCCUUCUCCAGGGGAUCUUCCUGACCCAGAGAUUGAACCCAGGUCUCCCUCAUUGCAGGCAGAUUCUUUAAUAUAUAAGCCACCAGGGAAGCCCAUACUGAAGAUAGCUUACUGUAUAUUAUAUUCUGCAGCUCCUUCUUUCUUUGAGUAAUGCUUUUUAGAUUUCAUGUUCAUACACAUGGUUUCAGCUUGUUCAUCUCUGCUAUAUAAUAUUUCAUAUGUGAGAAAAAUCAGUAAAAUACUGACUCUUUUGCUGUAAAAGAUAUUCAUAUUGGUUGUAGAAGAUACAGAAAAUAGGAAGAGGGAAAUCUUAACCUAUAAACUGAGCAUGUAGAAAUAAUUACUUGUUAACAUUUAGUAUGUUUAAGCAAUUUAUUUUUGUGUGUGUAUCUUUAAUUGUCAAAAUACAUCUGUAAUACAGACCGAAUCCAACAGCAUAUCAGAAUUAAACACCAUGGCUAAGUGGAGUUUAUCCCCAGAAUUCCAGGGUGGUGCAGCAUAAAAUCAAUAUAACAUACCCCAUUAAUAGAAUGAAGAAAAGAAAAGCACUUAAUCACUUCAGUUGUCUCAGAAAAGGCAUUUGACGAAAUUCAACACUGUUUCAUGAUAAGCAAACUUAACGAACUAGGAAUAGAAGUGAACUUAGUAUAAUUAAGCAGAUUUAUGAAAAACGCAUAACCAACAUUAUAGUCAGUGAUGAAAGAUUGAAAGCUUUUCUUCUUAGAUUGGGAACAAGAUAGUGUAUCUGCUUUCACUACUGAUAUCGAACGUUGUAUUGGAAGUUUUAGCCAAGCUCUUAGGCUAAAAAGACAUAAAAAGGAUCCAGAUUGGAAGGGAAGAAGUAAAAUUACCUCUGUUCAAAGAUGACAUGAUACAGAAAAUCCUAAAGAAUCCAUAGAAUAGCUAUUAACACCAGUAAGUGAAUACAGCACAGUUGUACGCUUCAGAAUCAGUACACAAAAAUCAGUUGUAUUUCCAUACACUGUAUGCUUAGUCACUCAGUCAUGUCUGACUCUUUGCAACUCCGUGGACUGUAGCCUGCCAGGCUCCUCUGUCCAUGGCAGUUUUCCAGG